GAGAGACUCGCCGACGAUCUGCUCGUCGAGAUCCUCGCGCGCGUCCCCGCAAGAUCAGUGUGCCGCUUCAAGUGGGUCUCCAAGGACUGGCUCAGCCUCAUCGACCACCCCGAUCACCGCAGGAAGCUCCCUCAAACCCUAGCAGGCUUUUUUUACACUAGGAGCGACAACGGGGAGUUGCCUCUGGAAACAGAAGUCCGCUUCGCCGGUGUCUCGGGGAAACGCUGCCCUCCAGUCGACACCUCUUUUUCCUUCCUGCCCAGCCACCGGCGCGUCGAUCUACUAGACUGCUGCAAUGGCCUCCUCCUCUGUCGCUGGUACGGCGUUUCCUCUCUUGGUGAUGAGUUUUGUUACAUCGUGUGCAAUCCUGCCACGAAGGAGUGGGUUUCGUUGCCCGACCGUAGCCAUGAAAACAAGGUGGGCAUAGAGCGUCUGGGUUUCGAUCCGACCAUGUCUUCCCACUUCUAUGUGUUUGUGUUGCUAGAGAAUGUCAACUUUAACGCCUACCUUUCUGAAGUGGAAGUGUAUUCGUCGGAAACCAAGAGAUGGGUUUACAAGGAAAUUGGAUGGAACAAAAGAAUUGUGCUUCCUGCUGAGCAGUCUAGCGCUGUCUUCCUCAACGGCUGUUUGUAUUUUUACUCCUUCGGCAAAAGGUCACCCUUUUUUAUAGGUGUGGUAGACACGGCGGGGGAAACAUCAAUGAACUUCCAUAUCCCUGAUAAUUUGAAUAAUGGUUUUAUUCAGCACUCACAGGACUGUCUGCAUUAUGCCAAGUUCAAGAGAGGUGAUGGUAAUGUGGUUCGACUAGUAGUCUAUGUUCUCGAGGACUAUGACCGCAAAAAGUGGAAACUGAAGCAUAGUGUUAAAACUUCAGACAUAUUUGGAGGGACACAUGUUACAGAUUCCGAUUCGUUUGCAAUUCAUCCGGUCGAUUCCCGUUGGAUUGCGAUUCAUCCGGAAUGUAACUUAAUUUUCUUCACUGUGGGGUCAGCUUCCACAUUAAUGUGCUAUGAUAUGGACCGUCGACAAGUCAAAGUGAUCUGCAGUCUUGAUGGUUAUCUGCCACGCCUGCCAUAUGUGCCAUUGUAUGCAGAGUUGCAAUCACUGCAU
RNAcentral lists this ribosomal RNA (1110 nucleotides) under Triticum aestivum (bread wheat). RNAcentral describes it as "partial small subunit ribosomal RNA". Lineage: Eukaryota; Viridiplantae; Streptophyta; Magnoliopsida; Poales; Poaceae. The record is from RNAcentral.